Molecule: transfer RNA, 131 nt
Filed under: Curvularia lunata CX-3
Lineage: Eukaryota; Fungi; Ascomycota; Dothideomycetes; Pleosporales; Pleosporaceae
Description: tRNA-Leu (TAG) (tRNA-Leu-TAG-1-1)
Rfam family: tRNA
About the family: Transfer RNA (tRNA) molecules are approximately 80 nucleotides in length. Their secondary structure includes four short double-helical elements and three loops (D, anti-codon, and T loops).
Source: RNAcentral
GGCAAGAUGGCCGAGUGGUCUAAGGCGCUGCGUUUAGGCCGCAGUCUUCACGGGCGUGGGUGUAAGUUAUAUGUUCAAUUAGCUCCAAUAGCAACCCGCUAAUCCACAACAGUCGAAUCCCACUCUUGUCA